AAGAACGACCCGCGAACCGUCAUCGAGCACUAGAGAGAGCCCGUGAGCACCCAACGCUCAUGGGGCUCGAGUCGAGUCGGCGUGGGUGUACUCGAGACCCGCGUCGUACCGACGGACAAACAACGUCAGCACGGAUCGUGCCAAGGAGCUGCAUGGAGAGAAUCGUCGUCCCACGCCUUUGAUAGCCCUCGAUGCGGGACGGGGGGCGGGGGAUGCACGCAGUCUCUACUCAAGUCUAAACGACUCUCGGCAACGGAUAUCUCGGCUCUUGCAUCGAUGAAGAACGUAGCGAAAUGCGAUACUUGGUGUGAAUUGCAGAAUCCCGCGAACCAUCAAUUCUUUGAACGCAAGUUGCGCCCGAAGCCAUCCGGCCGAGGGCACGCCUGCCUGGGUGUCGUGAUUCCCCUUGCCCCUAGGCACCCCGCAUGAGCAUUGGCGGGGAUGUAUGCUCGGGCGCAGAAUAUGGUCUCCCGUGGGAUCGGCAUGCCCGGCAUGCAGAGGCGCGGUUGGCCGAAAAUCGAGCGUGGCGGUGACGGGCACCACGGCGUUCGGUGGAUCGAAUGAGAUUGGCUGCGUCGUGGGCUCGGCAUGCGGCGAGCUCCGGACUUUGAAAAUCCUCGAUUGCGAUCCCAGGUCAGGCGGGGCUACCCGCUGAGUUUAAG
Molecule: ribosomal RNA, 662 nt
Filed under: Miconia mirabilis
Lineage: Eukaryota; Viridiplantae; Streptophyta; Magnoliopsida; Myrtales; Melastomataceae
Description: eukaryotic LSU rRNA
Rfam family: 5.8S ribosomal RNA (bases 242-397)
Source: RNAcentral